UUAACGCUGAGGUGUGAUGACGAGGCACUACGGUGCUGAAGUAACAAAUGCCCUGCUUCCAGGAAAAGCCUCUAAGCAUCAGGUAACAUUAAAUCGUACCCCAAACCGACACAGGUGGUCAGGUAGAGAAUACCAAGGCGCUUGAGAGAACUCGGGUGAAGGAACUAGGCAAAAUGGUGCCGUAACUUCGGGAGAAGGCACGCUGAUAUGUAGGUGAAGCCCCUGCGGGUGGAGCUGAAAUCAGUCGAAGAUACCAGCUGGCUGCAACUGUUUAUUAAAAACACAGCACUGUGCAAACACGAAAGUGGACGUAUACGGUGUGACGCCUGCCCGGUGCCGGAAGGUUAAUUGAUGGGGUUAUCCGUAAGGAGAAGCUCUUGAUCGAAGCCCCGGUAAACGGCGGCCGUAACUAUAACGGUCCUAAGGUAGCGAAAUUCCUUGUCGGGUAAGUUCCGACCUGCACGAAUGGCGUAAUGAUGGCCAGGCUGUCUCCACCCGAGACUCAGUGAAAUUGAACUCGCUGUGAAGAUGCAGUGUACCCGCGGCAAGACGGAAAGACCCCGUGAACCUUUACUAUAGCUUGACACUGAACAUUGAGCCUUGAUGUGUAGGAUAGGUGGGAGGCUUUGAAGCGUGGACGCCAGUCUGCGUGGAGCCAACCUUGAAAUACCACCCUUUAAUGUUUGAUGUUCUAACGUGGACCCGUAAUCCGGGUUGCGGACAGUGUCUGGUGGGUAGUUUGACUGGGGCGGUCUCCUCCCAAAGAGUAACGGAGGAGCACGAAGGUUAGCUAAUCCUGGUCGGACAUCAGGAGGUUAGUGCAAUGGCAUAAGCUAGCUUGACUGCGAGCGUGACGGCGCGAGCAGGUGCGAAAGCAGGUCAUAGUGAUCCGGUGGUUCUGAAUGGAAGGGCCAUCGCUCAACGGAUAAAAGGUACUCCGGGGAUAACAGGCUGAUACCGCCCAAGAGUUCAUAUCGACGGCGGUGUUUGGCACCUCGAUGUCGGCUCAUCACAUCCUGGGGCUGAAGUAGGUCCCAAGGGUAUGGCUGUUCGCCAUUUAAAGUGGUACGCGAGCUGGGUUUAGAACGUCGUGAGACAGUUCGGUCCCUAUCUGCCGUGGGCGCUGGAGAAUUGAGGGGGGCUGCUCCUAGUACGAGAGGACCGGAGUGGACGCAUCACUGGUGUUCGGGUUGUCAUGCCAAUGGCAUUGCCCGGUAGCUAAAUGCGGAAGAGAUAAGUGCUGAAAGCAUCUAAGCACGAAACUUGCCCCGAGAUGAGUUCUCCCUGAGACU
This 1292-nucleotide ribosomal RNA is filed under the name Klebsiella sp. 141203. Its description in RNAcentral is "partial 23S ribosomal RNA". It matches the Rfam family "Bacterial large subunit ribosomal RNA", at positions 1550 to 2822 of the family's 2925-position model. Lineage: Bacteria; Pseudomonadati; Pseudomonadota; Gammaproteobacteria; Enterobacterales; Enterobacteriaceae. The record is from RNAcentral.